RNAcentral lists this ribosomal RNA (497 nucleotides) under uncultured bacterium. RNAcentral describes it as "partial 16S ribosomal RNA". It matches the Rfam family "Bacterial small subunit ribosomal RNA", at positions 28 to 507 of the family's 1533-position model. The record is from RNAcentral.
GAUGAACGCUGGCGGCGUGCCUAAUACAUGCAAGUCGAGCGAACGGACGAGAAGCUUGCUUCUCUGAUGUUAGCGGCGGACGGGUGAGUAACACGUGGAUAACCUACCUAUAAGACUGGGAUAACUUCGGGAAACCGGAGCUAAUACCGGAUAAUAUUUUGAACCGCAUGGCUCAAAAGUGAAAGACGGUCUUGCUGUCACUUAUAGAUGGAUCCGCGCUGCAUUAGCUAGUUGGUAAGGUAACGGCUUACCAAGGCAACGAUGCAUAGCCGACCUGAGAGGGUUAUCGGCCACACUGGAACUGAGACACGGUCCAGACUCCUACGGGAGGCAGCAGUAGGGAAUCUUCCGCAAUGGGCGAAAGCCUGACGGAGCAACGCCGCGUGAGUGAUGAAGGUCUUCGGAUCGUAAAACUCUGUUAUUAGGGAAGAACAUAUGUGUAAGUAACUGUGCACAUCUUGACGGUACCUAAUCAGAAAGCCACGGCUAACUACGUG